Molecule: transfer RNA, 63 nt
Filed under: Mecopoda elongata
Lineage: Eukaryota; Metazoa; Arthropoda; Insecta; Orthoptera; Tettigoniidae
Description: tRNA-Ala
Source: RNAcentral
AGGGUUGUAGUUAAUUAUAACAUUUGAAUUGCACUCAAAAAGUACUAAAUUUAGUCUACCUUA